AAGACUAUAGACCUGCGGAGUACCUGCGGAGGGAUCAUUACCGAGUGUGACCCUCCUGUAAAAAAGGGGGUACCUCCCGUCCUUUUGCUAGGCUCUCCCCCACCAAAUUUUUUUUGGGAGGGGAAGCUUUUUUUAAACCUUCUGCUUCGGUGGGUUUUAACCCCACCGGAACAACCUCAAAAAUUCUUUAUAAUUGUUCUGUCCGAGAAAAUUUUUAUAAAAUGAAAAAACUUUUAGCAA
Molecule: unclassified non-coding RNA, 240 nt
Filed under: soil metagenome
Description: partial contains 5.8S ribosomal RNA, internal transcribed spacer 2, and large subunit ribosomal RNA
Source: RNAcentral